RNAcentral lists this ribosomal RNA (1060 nucleotides) under Pseudomonas paralactis. Its description in RNAcentral is "bacterial SSU rRNA". It matches the Rfam family "Bacterial small subunit ribosomal RNA", at positions 30 to 1088 of the family's 1533-position model. The record is from RNAcentral. Lineage: Bacteria; Pseudomonadati; Pseudomonadota; Gammaproteobacteria; Pseudomonadales; Pseudomonadaceae.
UGAACGCUGGCGGCAGGCCUAACACAUGCAAGUCGAGCGGUAGAGAGAAGCUUGCUUCUCUUGAGAGCGGCGGACGGGUGAGUAAUGCCUAGGAAUCUGCCUGGUAGUGGGGGAUAACGUUCGGAAACGGACGCUAAUACCGCAUACGUCCUACGGGAGAAAGCAGGGGACCUUCGGGCCUUGCGCUAUCAGAUGAGCCUAGGUCGGAUUAGCUAGUUGGUGAGGUAAUGGCUCACCAAGGCGACGAUCCGUAACUGGUCUGAGAGGAUGAUCAGUCACACUGGAACUGAGACACGGUCCAGACUCCUACGGGAGGCAGCAGUGGGGAAUAUUGGACAAUGGGCGAAAGCCUGAUCCAGCCAUGCCGCGUGUGUGAAGAAGGUCUUCGGAUUGUAAAGCACUUUAAGUUGGGAGGAAGGGUUGUAGAUUAAUACUCUGCAAUUUUGACGUUACCGACAGAAUAAGCACCGGCUAACUCUGUGCCAGCAGCCGCGGUAAUACAGAGGGUGCAAGCGUUAAUCGGAAUUACUGGGCGUAAAGCGCGCGUAGGUGGUUUGUUAAGUUGGAUGUGAAAUCCCCGGGCUCAACCUGGGAACUGCAUUCAAAACUGACUGACUAGAGUAUGGUAGAGGGUGGGUGGAAUUUCCUGUGUAGCGGUGAAAUGCGUAGAUAUAGGAAGGAACACCAGUGGCGAAGGCGACCACCUGGACUAAUACUGACACUGAGGUGCGAAAGCGUGGGGAGCAAACAGGAUUAGAUACCCUGGUAGUCCACGCCGUAACGAUGUCAACUAGCCGUUGGAAGCCUUGAGCUUUUAGUGGCGCAGCUAACGCAUUAAGUUGACCGCCUGGGGAGUACGGCCGCAAGGUUAAAACUCAAAUGAAUUGACGGGGGCCCGCACAAGCGGUGGAGCAUGUGGUUUAAUUCGAAGCAACGCGAAGAACCUUACCAGCCUUGACUUCCAAUGAACUUUCUAGAGAUAGAUUGGUGCCUUCGGGAACAUUGAAACAGUGCUGCAUGGUUGUCGUCAGCUCGUGUCGUGAGAUGUUGGGUUAGUCCC